RNAcentral lists this ribosomal RNA (459 nucleotides) under uncultured bacterium. RNAcentral describes it as "partial 16S ribosomal RNA". It matches the Rfam family "Bacterial small subunit ribosomal RNA", at positions 338 to 795 of the family's 1533-position model. The record is from RNAcentral.
CCUACGGGAGGCAGCAGUGAGGAAUAUUGGUCAAUGGGCGGAAGCCUGAACCAGCCAAGUAGCGUGCGGGAUGAAGGCCCUACGGGUCGUAAACCGCUUUUGCACGGGGAUAACACCCUCCACUUGUGGAGGUCUGCAGGUACCGUGCGAAUAAGGGCCGGCCAGUUCCGUGCCAGCAGCCGCGGUAAUACGGAAGGCCCGAGCGUUAUCCGGGUUCAUUGGGCUUAAAGGGAGCGUAGGGGGGCGUUCAAGUCAGCUGUAAAAUCGCGCGGCUCAACCGCGCCCCGCAGUUGAAACUGGACGGCUUGAGUUCACAACAGGCAGGCGGAAUUCGUGGUGUAGCGGUGAAAUGCAUAGAUAUCACGAGGAACCCCGAUUGCGAAGGCAGCCUGCCGGGGUGCGACUGACGCUGAGGCUCGAAGGUGCGGGUAUCAAACAGGAUUAGAUACCCCAGUAGUC